UAAAAUGUUACGCAUUCAAUUACCAAGGUUCAUGCGUGAAUCAAUCAUGUGCUUAUACUCAUUCUUGUUUAAGAUGCUUUGAUCAGCACCCACUUAUGAUUCAGUGCCCAGACAAGACUGUUUUCCUGAAGGCAGGCAAAAUGUAAGAUUUAAGCAAACUAGGCCUCAGUUUAGACCGAGAUUUAAGGCACGUGUAAGCAACUCGUUGCAGUAUCCCAUCAAUACGAACUCGUAUACUGGGCAAAAUAUGAAGUGAAUUUUUAGCAAAUGCAAUUACAAUUGAUCUUAAAGAGAUAUCAAAUUGAGAAUUUUUGUGAUAUUUAUCUUAUGUUUAAUUUUGUAUAGAAUUUGGAUUGUAUUGAUUUCGAAUCCAAACUGAUGUAUCAUCUAUUGGAUAAAGGGUGGACUCCAUUAAACACAACUGAAUUAAAAGAAUUAAAAGAAUGUAACUUGGGGGUUAUACAAAAGUGUAGAUUCCUAGCUCCGGCUGAGGGGUUUACUUUUGGCUUAAGGUUAUCAUAUGAA
This 525-nucleotide long non-coding RNA is filed under the name Mytilus galloprovincialis (Mediterranean mussel). The record is from RNAcentral. Lineage: Eukaryota; Metazoa; Mollusca; Bivalvia; Mytilida; Mytilidae.